Molecule: unclassified non-coding RNA, 525 nt
Filed under: Hevea brasiliensis (rubber tree)
Lineage: Eukaryota; Viridiplantae; Streptophyta; Magnoliopsida; Malpighiales; Euphorbiaceae
Source: RNAcentral
AGAGGAGAGAGAAUUGUCCAUGUCACCACCACUCUGAAUUGCAUAAGCGGGCCAUUGAAAGCCAAAAUAAUUUAACAGUACAAAAUUUCAAAGUUCAAGGCGUUUAUGUUAUUUUUAAGAUACAGCUCUGUCACAACCACUAAAGUUCAGAGACAAUUAUUGAAAGUUAUCCAUAAAUAACGAAAGAGUUGUAACAGAUUACUAUCCAAGAAAUAUCGAGAUUUCAAUCAACUCCUCUCUAAUCCUCUUUAUUCUUUUCUCCUUCUAUUUCUCUCUCUAUAAUUAUCUCUCUAUGAUUCUUCUCCUUUUAUUUCCCUUCCAUUUUCUUUCUCUAUUUCUCUAAUUUCUGCUCCUCUAGAAUUGAGAAUUGUGUUUCAUAGCAGAUGGUAUCAGAGCUUGAUUUCGAUUAGGCAUUGUUUCAAAUCUAUUAAGGGGAGUUGCAAUUAUGGCUCGAUGCAUGGCAAGCCCUAAAUUCCAAGUUCUUUCUGAAACUACUCUUCUCUCUACUCUUCUUCUUCUUUUCUU